Molecule: non-coding RNA, 168 nt
Filed under: Burkholderiales bacterium
Lineage: Bacteria; Pseudomonadati; Pseudomonadota; Betaproteobacteria; Burkholderiales
Description: FMN sequence
Rfam family: FMN riboswitch aptamer (RFN element)
About the family: The RFN element is a highly conserved domain that is found frequently in the 5'-untranslated regions of prokaryotic mRNAs that encode for flavin mononucleotide (FMN) biosynthesis and transport proteins. This element is a metabolite-dependent riboswitch that directly binds FMN in the absence of proteins.
Source: RNAcentral
AAGCGUUCUCAGGGCGGGGUGAAAGUCCCCACCGGCGGUGAUGGCGGCGUGGUGUUCCACCACGACCGCACGAGUGCCGCGAGCGCCUGCGCACCUCGGUGCGCAGGGUCAGCAGACCCGGUGAGACUCCGGGACCGACGGUCACAGUCCGGAUGCAAGAGAGCGCGA